Long non-coding RNA from Beta vulgaris subsp. vulgaris (sugar beet), 1390 nucleotides. RefSeq lists it as uncharacterized. NCBI's taxonomy places the organism in Eukaryota, Viridiplantae, Streptophyta, Magnoliopsida, Caryophyllales, Amaranthaceae. The transcript has 2 exons. The record is from RefSeq and is a predicted model, not a curated record.
AUAGGUGAAGAGGUAACCUUAUACCUCUGCUUCAACCAACAACGUCGAACCAGAGAGUAGGGGGAGGAAGAACGAAGCUCCGGCGAGGCGAGGCAGAGAAGAACUGAAGGCACGGCGGUGGUCCGGUAGUGCUGGGCGGUGGUCUGGCGGUGCGCGCAGCAGACCAAGCAGAGGAGAGGGAAAGAACUGGGCGAGAAAGAGAAAAGCUGAGCAAGAGAGAGAUGAAGGCGACAGAGAAGGGCGGCUGGGUAGGCUAAGGCGCGGUGGUUGGCGCAAGGUGGUAGUGGUGAGGGUCGUCGGUGGUUGUCGGUGGAGGGUGGCAGCCUCAGAAGGUGGUGCUGCGGUGGUGUUGGUUCGAAAAACAGAGGAGUGAGAGAGAGUUGCGAAAAACAGAGGGUUUGAGGGUGGUUUAGGUGGCUUUUCCGGUGGUAACUCAGGAAGUUUGAGUGAAUGGUUUGAGGGGAUAAACAUGGCUAUUUAUAGCCAUUGUUGAGCUUCAAUUUAUGCCCAAAUGGAUUGAUGAAUUGAAUGAGAAUAAAAUGGGUUAUUGGGUAAUUUGGUUUGAUUAAUGAAUUUUAUUUACAAAUAAGUUUGAUUGUGUUCAAGAACCCAUUUUGAUUUAGAAAUUCAUGGGUGGGUUUUUGUGAAGAGAAAACUGAGAUGGAGCUAUGGAGAAAACUCACAUUUUCUGUUUUUUUUUUUCAAUUUCUUCUUUUUCUUUUUCUUUUUCUUUUUCUUUUUAUUUUUCUUUUCUUUUCUCUUUUUAUUUUUCUUUUUUUAUUAACAACACCAAUUUGAUCCAACUUUGUAAAGUUCAAGUAAUUGUUUUGUUUAUUAUUUUAUUUUCUUAUUAAUGUAAUGUUAUUAUUUAAUCUAACAUAACUUGUUAUUAAUUGUAACUCUUGCCAUACAUAAUAUAUAUUAUCAUUACUUGGACAUAAAAUAACAAAAAAUUUGAUCUUAACUUAUGAUUAAAGAAAAAACUUAGCCACUAAUUAUUAUUAUUUAAUUUAGGGAAGUUUAAAUUUUCGGGAUAUUACAGUAGUAUCAUGUCUAGGAAUGACCAUUAUUGCUUUGUUUAUGUUUGCAUGCAUUCAAUGGUUUACUAUGUACUCAGCAUCGCUGAUUGUGUGUUAUUGUGUGUUUUUGACCUGUGAUGAACCAUUGAUGCUACAGCGGGGAGCAGACUAGGUGUAUUGGUGCUGCUGCAUGAUACUGAGCAUACGGGGGAAUAGUCCUUAGUCUUGGAACUUUAAAGCGUUUUAAUUAAGCAUUAUAAAAAACUAUUAUGAUUUACUUAAUUAGUUUGUGGUUUGAAUAAAAGGGGUCGUUGAUGAUUCCCGAGUUGUAGUUACAUUUUAUUUUCGCUGCAUUUCAGUUUUUGAGACAA